This is a transfer RNA of Camelus ferus (Wild Bactrian camel), 59 nucleotides long. It matches the Rfam family "tRNA". From Rfam's summary of the family: Transfer RNA (tRNA) molecules are approximately 80 nucleotides in length. Their secondary structure includes four short double-helical elements and three loops (D, anti-codon, and T loops). NCBI's taxonomy places the organism in Eukaryota, Metazoa, Chordata, Mammalia, Artiodactyla, Camelidae. The record is from Rfam.
GAGGGUGUAGCUCAGUGGUAGCAUGCAUGAGGUCCUGGGUUCAAACCCCAGCACCUCCA